GUAGGGUGCGAGCGUUAAUCGGGAAUUACUGGGCGUAAAGCGUGCGCAGGCGGUUCGCUAAGACCGAUGUGAAAUCCCCGGGGCUUAACCUGGGGAACUGCAUUGGUGACUGGCGGGCUAGAGUAUGGCAGAGGGGGGUAGAAUUCCACGUGUAGCAGUGAAAUGCGUAGAGAUGUGGAGGAAUACCGAUGGCGAAGGCAGCCCCCUGGGCCAAUACUGACGCUCAUGCACGAAGGCGUGGGGAGCAAACAGGAUUAGAUACCCUGGUAGUCCACGCCCUAAACGAUGUCAACUAGUUGUCGGGUCUUCAUUGACUUGGUAACGUAGCUAACGCGUGAAGUUGACCGCCUGGGGAGUACGGUCGCAAAGAUUAA
RNAcentral lists this ribosomal RNA (374 nucleotides) under uncultured organism. Its description in RNAcentral is "partial 16S ribosomal RNA". It matches the Rfam family "Bacterial small subunit ribosomal RNA", at positions 527 to 897 of the family's 1533-position model. The record is from RNAcentral.